RNAcentral lists this unclassified non-coding RNA (324 nucleotides) under uncultured fungus. RNAcentral describes it as "sequence contains ITS2". The stretch from base 1 to 52 matches the Rfam family "5.8S ribosomal RNA", at positions 103 to 154 of the family's 154-position model. The record is from RNAcentral. Lineage: Eukaryota; Fungi.
AACGCAUCUUGCGCUCCUUGGUAUUCCGAGGAGCAUGCCUGUUUGAGUGUCAUUAAAUUAUCAACCAUAUUGGCUUCACUGCUUGGUAUGGCUUGGAUUUGGAGGUGUCUUUUUGCUGGUCUCUCUUGUUAGAGAGAGUCAGCUCCUCUUAAAUGCAUUAGCGGUGCCCUUUGAUGGCAGAAUUAGCUAUCAGUGUGAUAAACUGUCUACACUGUUGGUUGUCAUCAAAUAAGGGCUGUGCUGCUUCAAAUAGUCUAGUCUUUCAGACAAAAUGUAAAUGACCAAUUUGACCUCAAAUCAGGUAGGACCACCCGCUGAACUUAA